This 302-nucleotide unclassified non-coding RNA is filed under the name Hevea brasiliensis (rubber tree). The record is from RNAcentral. Lineage: Eukaryota; Viridiplantae; Streptophyta; Magnoliopsida; Malpighiales; Euphorbiaceae.
AAUUCCUGGCAUCCUCAAUAUCACCUCCAAAUGAUGCUCCAUACACUAGAAUCUUCUUCGGAACACAACCGCGAAGAACACAUGUUCCACCAACUCCUCCAACUACUUCUGAGCUGAUUGGAUGAAAAGGAAGCUCACAAAUCGCAACCUUAGCUCCAUAGUUAGCUGAAAACCUAGAAGCACGAACACCGCCACUUCCAGCUCCAAUUACAAACAAAUCAAAAUCAUAGUGGGACUCUUGUUCAUUCGACUGAUUCACCUCUCCAUCAAUAAGCAUCUUCCUCGCCAUGAUUGUAAAAUAA